UGGGGAAUUUUGGACAAUGGGCGAAAGCCUGAUCCAGCAAUGCCGCGUGUGUGAAGAAGGCCUUCGGGUUGUAAGCACUUUUGUCCGGAAAGAAAUCCUUGGCUCUAAUACAGUCGGGGGAUGACGGUACCGGAAGAAUAAGCACCGGCUAACUACGUGCCAGCAGCCGCGGUAAUACGUAGGGUGCAAGCGUUAAUCGGAAUUACUGGGCGUAAAGCGUGCGCAGGCGGUUUGCUAAGACCGAUGUGAAAUCCCCGGGCUCAACCUGGGAACUGCAUUGGUGACUGGCAGGCUAGAGUAUGGCAGAGGGGGGUAGAAUUCCACGUGUAGCAGUGAAAUGCGUAGAGAUGUGGAGGAAUACCGAUGGCGAAGGCAGCCCCCUGGGCCAAUACUGACGCUCAUGCACGAAAGCGUGGGGAGCAAACAGGAUUAGAUACCCUGGUAGUCCACGCCCUAAACGAUGUCAACUAGUUGUGGGGAUUCAUUCCUUAGUAACGUAGCUAACGCGUGAAGUUGACCGCCUGGGGAGUACGGUCGAAGAUUAAAACUCAAA
RNAcentral lists this ribosomal RNA (553 nucleotides) under uncultured bacterium. Its description in RNAcentral is "partial 16S ribosomal RNA". It matches the Rfam family "Bacterial small subunit ribosomal RNA", at positions 355 to 905 of the family's 1533-position model. The record is from RNAcentral.